CAGCAGCCACGGUAAUACGUAGGGUGCAAGCGUUAAUCGGAAUUACUGGGCGUAAAGCGUGCGUAGGCGGCUUUUUAAGUCGGAUGUGAAAUCCCUGAGCUUAACUUAGGAAUUGCAUUCGAUACUGGGAAGCUAGAGUAUGGGAGAGGAUGGUAGAAUUCCAGGUGUAGCGGUGAAAUGCGUAGAGAUCUGGAGGAAUACCGAUGGCGAAGGCAGCCAUCUGGCCUAAUACUGACGCUGAGGUACGAAAGCAUGGGGAGCAAACAGGAUUAGAGACCCCGGUAGUCCCUGUCUCUUAUAC
This 301-nucleotide ribosomal RNA is filed under the name uncultured bacterium. RNAcentral's name for it is "partial 16S ribosomal RNA". It matches the Rfam family "Bacterial small subunit ribosomal RNA", at positions 509 to 807 of the family's 1533-position model. The record is from RNAcentral.